This 3130-nucleotide unclassified non-coding RNA is filed under the name Leishmania donovani. RNAcentral describes it as "gene:LdHU3.28.0560(CDS-product:DIS3-like_exonucle ase_putative)". The record is from RNAcentral. Lineage: Eukaryota; Euglenozoa; Kinetoplastea; Trypanosomatida; Trypanosomatidae.
ACUCCAACGUGAUGCUCUUGUACCCUCUCUUGCUUGCUCAUCUUUCGUCCCUCGCUCACCUCUACUCCCUCUCUCUUUCUGCGGGGUCGUGAGCCGUACCAUGGGCGAAGACAACACGAAAACGAAUACACCAUUUUCAAGCGGACGUGACACAAGGAAAGGCAUGACCGUCAUCACCUGUGCUUACGCGCUCGGCAGCGACCCGGAUCUUGAAAAGCGCGUGAAAGAGGGCACCGUCGUCAUUGGACGUGUCAACGUGUUUCGCAACUACAACACCAAUCUGUCGUUUGUGCGCAGCAGUCGGCUUCCGUGCGAUGUGGUGCUGAACUCUGCCGAGCUGCGCGGACCUGCGCUGCACUCUGAUGUGGUGGCAGUGGCGCUCCUGCCAUUGGCUCAGUGGCAACCCGCGCCGAAUGCAGCCAGCGCAGUGCCUGCCAGCAGCGAUAGCAACACCGAUGACGAGGAGACCGAAAAUGGUCCGCGGGUGAUGCCGUCUACGCUGCCGGACGGCCGCCACAUUGCGCAGCUGAUUGCGCCCGAGACAACGGAAGAGCUCAUCCAGAACGCAUCUGCCGAGGUCUCCCUCGCCGCGCAGAUGGGCGCCCCUUUUUCGUACGAGUGGCCACCAGAGAAGCGUCCUCUGGGCCGUGUCAUUCGAAUUCUGAAGCGCUGCCUGCCACGCCUUCACGUGGCCCGCAUUGCUGACAACCAGGUGCACCCUGGCGAGGGAUUGCAGGAGAAGUACUACUACCGCUUCCGUCCCUUCAAUCAGCUGUACCCUCAGCUGACUGUGCAGGGGUGCGACAUCAUGGCUGCUUAUCAUGCAAACAUCAGCACGUCGCUCUUUUCCUUGGCACUGGAGCACGGGGAGAACGGCGAAAUCUUAACGACUCCGCGAGUGCCGAACGCCCUCUUGUGCAAAGUCCACAGCUUCCUCGGUGACGCCUCGACCAUGGCCGUGGCCAGCCACGCCAUCUGCACAAGCUGCAAUGUGUCGAACGAACCCUUUUCGGAGGAGGCCGAGGCGUGCGUGCUCAAGGAUUUCACGAUCCCCUCGCCAGCGGAACUGGCCGACAUGGGGCGGCGCGAUUUACGCGACUCGGAGUUCGUCUUGACGAUUGACCCCGCCACGGCGCGCGACCUGGACGACGCGCUCAGCAUUAAGCCGCGCAAAGAUGGCGGCUAUCACGUCGGCGUGCACAUCGCGGAUGUGUCCCACUUUGUGUUGCCGAGGACGGCUCUCGACGAGGAGGCGCAACGGCGCAGUAACUCGACCUACCUGGUGGACCGCGUGAUUCCCAUGCUGCCGUCCCGGCUGAGCGAGGAGUACUGUAGCUUGAACCCCGGCGAAGACAAGUUUGCCUUCUCUGGACUGUUCGAGUUUGACCGGGACGGGCAUCUCAUUUCCGAGGCAGCGACGGGGGAGAAGUGCGAGUGGUUCGGCCAGAGUGUCAUCCGCAGUCGGUGCCGAUUGGCGUACGAGCAGGCGCAGCAGAUUCUCGACGGCGACGACACGGUGGUGCUCGACGUGGCGCAAGCGGCGUCGGACCUCGGCAUCGGCGAGGAGGCUGCCCGCAAGAAGGUGAAGCAGAGUGUCACGAACCUCUUCGCGCUCGCGAGCAAACUUCGCCAGCAAUCACUGCGGGACGGGCGGGUGGUUAUCGGCAACACCCGUCUCGCGUUUAGAUUUGACAGGAAUGAGGUGAACUCGCCUCCCACCUCCUUUUUCGUGCAGGAGCAGAUUCAGGCCAACUGGUUGGUGGAGGAGUUUAUGUUGUUAGCGAAUCAACGCGUGGCACAGAAAAUCGUGCAGUACAUUCCGUACGGGGCUCUGCUGCGUCGGCACAAACCGCCGCAACCGCAGAAGAUGAGACGACUACGCACGGCCCUGUCGCACCGCGGUCUGCCUACGGGCGGCAGCUCUGGACAGGAGCUGCAGCGGAUGAUCGACACCAUCAAGAAGGACCACCGCGGAGACUUCCACACCGUGUGCGAGUUGCUCAAGUACUCCUUGAUGGCGGCCGAAUACAUUGCCAACGACCCGACGGAGAAGGACAUCCGCUCCCACUUUGCCGUCGCGGCGCCGUGGUACACCCACUUUACGUCACCGAUUCGGCGUUACUGCGACUUGAUGGUGCAUCGUCAGCUGCGCGUCGCCCUGGAGCUGGAGCGGUGCAUGGAGGAAGCCCAGAUGGAGAUGCCGAACGCGCCGCACCCGGCACUGGAGACGAGGCCCGUGGAUUGCAUCUUCGACCCAACGCGUGCCGUGGAUGUCCACAAACUGAAGACGCGAGAACUCUUCUACCCUCUCUCAGCACUGGAGCACAUUGUCACCCACGCCAACGAGUGCCGCUUGAACUCCCGCUCCGCCGGCGACAUGUCGUUGGAGUACUCUCUGUGCCUGUACCUGCUUGCACUGCAGAAGAGGGCCAAGGAGGACCCGACUUUGCCACAGCAGCUCUACACCACCGUCACCAUUGUGAAGAUCACAGAGGGCAGCUUCUUGCUCUACAGCGCGGAGCUGGCCUCUGUGGUGGAGAUCGGCUUCAACGAUACCCACCAGCGGUUCAGGUAUCAAGGACUACUUGUGACGGGCGACCUGGACGCAAAGUCAGCCGCGCAGGAGACUCGGGCGGACACACGGGCAGCAGCGGAACGGGCGAGCGACGCCAAGGCGAAGGCGCAUGCACGCAAGAAGGGGGGCAAGAGCGACAUGCCACGCCGCGGCGCCGCAGAUGGCGGACAGGGGCAGCAUCACUUUUCGGGCCGAGUGAACACGGUGGCGGCUCAGUUUUCGUGGGGGUCACACCCCGAGACGGGCGAGGAGGUGACGGAGGUGUUUGACCUGUUUACGGAGUUUGUCGCGCUGCUGGAGGUGACAGCGAAGCAGGGGCGACUGUCAUUGGGCAUGCAGCUGUUGCAGCCGUGGGAGCGGGAGGCGGCCCGCCGCGUCUGCCCCAAAGUGCCCACCUCGCUGGUCGAGGAGCAAUAGAGGCCGCUCUGCCGUGUAGAAAUUGUGUGGUGUUUUACGCUGUUUUGAGCGUGGCCGCUCAGCGGCAGCAGUGUCACGCAGUAGGUCACGCUCUGCGGGGUUUUGAAUGAGCGUGAAAGAAGUGACGGCGCACAGGGA